CUUCCGGGAACCAGUGCCGUAUAAUAUGCAACUAACGGUAUGAUGAAUUUUUCAGCACAAAUCAUGAUAAGUGCAACUGAGCGUCUCAUAUAGAUGAUAUACGGAUAUCGCGCAGAAGAUGUACAAAUUAAUACGUCGAUUUAGUAUCAGCUAGCAUUGCAAUGGUAUCGUGGUUAUCACUAUCAAUGCUAUCCAUUAGUGAUGAAGUAGUAAUAUUGGCUGGGAUAUAGGGACCACAGCC
Molecule: long non-coding RNA, 241 nt
Organism: Mytilus californianus (California mussel)
Lineage: Eukaryota; Metazoa; Mollusca; Bivalvia; Mytilida; Mytilidae
Exons: 3
Source: RefSeq, a predicted model, not a curated record